RNAcentral lists this ribosomal RNA (600 nucleotides) under uncultured Alphaproteobacteria bacterium. RNAcentral's name for it is "bacterial SSU rRNA". It matches the Rfam family "Bacterial small subunit ribosomal RNA", at positions 54 to 699 of the family's 1533-position model. The record is from RNAcentral. Lineage: Bacteria; Pseudomonadati; Pseudomonadota; Alphaproteobacteria.
CAUGCAAGUCGAACGAAGUAGCAAUACUUAGUGGCAGACGGGUGAGCAACAUGUAGGUAUCUGCCCUUUGGCCUGGAAUAACACGAGGAAACUUGUGCUAAUACCGGAUAAGUCUUUACGGAGAAAGCUUUAUGCACCAUUGGAUGAGCCUGCACUUGAUUAGUUUGUUGGUGGGGUAAUGGCCUACCAAGACUGUGAUCAAUAGCUGAUUUGAGAGGAUGAUCAGCCACAUUGGGACUGAGACACGGCCCAAACUCCUACGGGAGGCAGCAGUGGGGAAUCUUGCACAAUGGAGGAAACUCUGAUGCAGCGAUGCCGCGUGAGUGAAGAAGGCCCUUGGGUUGUAAAGCUCUUUCGUCGGGGAAGAAAAUGACUGUACCCGAAUAAGAAGGUCCGGCUAACUUCGUGCCAGCAGCCGCGGUAAUACGAAGGGACCUAGCGUAGUUCGGAAUUACUGGGCUUAAAGAGUUCGUAGGUGGUUGAAAAAGUUGGUGGUGAAAUCCCAGAGCUUAACUCUGGAACUGCCAUCAAAACUUUUCAGCUAGAGUAUGAUAGAGGAAAGCAGAAUUUCUAGUGUAGAGGUGUAAUUCGUAGAUAUUA